CUUGGUGUUACUGCGAAGGGGGGACGGAGAAGGCUAUGUUGGCCGGGCGACGGUUGUCCCGGUUUAAGCGUGUAGGCUGGUUUUCCAGGCAAAUCCGGAAAAUCAAGGCUGAGGCGUGAUGACGAGGCACUACGGUGCUGAAGCAAGAAAUGCCCUGCUUCCAGGAAAAGCCUCUAAGCAUCAGGUAACAUCAAAUCGUACCCCAAACCGACACAGGUGGUCAGGUAGAGAAUACCAAGGCGCUUGAGAGAACUCGGGUGAAGGAACUAGGCAAAAUGGUGCCGUAACUUCGGGAGAAGGCACGCUGAUAUGUAGGUGAAGCGACUUGCUCGUGGAGCUGAAAUCAGUCGAAGAUACCAGCUGGCUGCAACUGUUUAUUAAAAACACAGCACUGUGCAAACACGAAAGUGGACGUAUACGGUGUGACGCCUGCCCGGUGCCGGAAGGUUAAUUGAUGGGGUUAGCGCAAGCGAAGCUCUUGAUCGAAGCCCCGGUAAACGGCGGCCGUAACGAUAACGGUCCUAAGGUAGCGAAAUUCCUUGUCGGGUAAGUUCCGACCUGCACGAAUGGCGUAAUGAUGGCCAGGCUGUCUCCACCCGAGACUCAGUGAAAUUGAACUCGCUGUGAAGAUGCAGUGUACCCGCGGCAAGACGGAAAGACCCCGUGAACCUUUACUAUAGCUUGACACUGAACAUUAAGCCUUGAUGUGUAGGAUAGGUGGGAGGCUUUGAAGUGUGGACGCCAGUCUGCAUGGAGCCGACCUUGAAAUACCUCCCUUUAAUGUUUGAUGUUCUAACGUUGACCCGUAAUCCGGGUUGCGGACAGUGUCUGGUGGGUAGUUUGACUGGGGCGGUCUCCUCCUAAAGAGUAACGGAGGAGCACGAAGGUUGGCUAAUCCUGGUCGGACAUCAGGAGGUUAGUGCAAUGGCAUAAGCCAGCUUGACUGCGAGCGUGACGGCGCGAGCAGGUGCGAAAGCAGGUCAUAGUGAUCCGGUGGUUCUGAAUGGAAGGGCCAUCGCUCAACGGAUAAAAGGUACUCCGGGGAUAACAGGCUGAUACCGCCCAAGAGUUCAUAUCGACGGCGGUGUUCGGCACCUCGAUGUCGGCUCAUCACAUCCUGGGGCUGAAGUAGGUCCCAAGGGUACGGCUGUUCGCCAUUUAAAGUGGUACGCGAGCUGGGUUUAGAACGUCGUGAGACAGUUCGGUCCCUAUCUGCCGUGGGCGCUGGAGAACUGAGGGGGGCUGCUCCUAGUACGAGAGGACCGGAGUGGACGCAUCACUGGUGUUCGGGUUGUCAUGCCAAUGGCACUGCCCGGUAGCUAAAUGCGGAAGAGAUAAGUGCUGAAAGCAUCUAAGCACGAAACUUGCCCCGAGAUGAGUUCUCCCUGACUCCUUGAGAGUCCUGAAGGAACGUUGAAGACGACGACGUUGAUAGGCCGGGUGUGUAAGCGCAGCGAUGCGUUGAGCUAACCGGUACUAAUGAACCGUGAGGCUUAACCUU
This 1501-nucleotide ribosomal RNA is filed under the name metagenome. Its description in RNAcentral is "bacterial LSU rRNA". It matches the Rfam family "Bacterial large subunit ribosomal RNA", at positions 1443 to 2925 of the family's 2925-position model. The record is from RNAcentral.